This 497-nucleotide ribosomal RNA is filed under the name uncultured bacterium. Its description in RNAcentral is "partial 16S ribosomal RNA". It matches the Rfam family "Bacterial small subunit ribosomal RNA", at positions 28 to 507 of the family's 1533-position model. The record is from RNAcentral.
GACGAACGCUGGCGGCGUGCCUAAUACAUGCAAGUUGAGCGAUGAAGCUUGGUGCUUGCACCAAUUUGAAGAGCAGCGAACGGGUGAGUAACGCGUGGGGAAUCUGCCUUUGAGCGGGGGACAACAUUUGGAAACGAAUGCUAAUACCGCAUAACAACUUUAAACAUAAGUUUUAAGUUUGAAAGAUGCAAUUGCAUCACUCAAAGAUGAUCCCGCGUUGUAUUAGCUAGUUGGUGAGGUAAAGGCUCACCAAGGCGAUGAUACAUAGCCGACCUGAGAGGGUGAUCGGCCACAUUGGGACGGAGACACGGCCCAAACUCCUACGGGAGGCAGCAGUAGGGAAUCUUCGGCAAUGGACGAAAGUCUGGCCGAGCAACGCCGCGUGAGUGAAGAAGGUUUUCGGAUCGUAAAACUCUGUUGGUAGAGAAGAACGUUGGUGAGAGUGGAAAGCUCAUCAAGUGACGGUAACUACCCAGAAAGGGACGGCUAACUACGUG